GGGUCAGUAGGUUGGUCGUGCCACCGGUACGUACUGGUCUCACUGAUUCCUCCUUCCUGAAGAACCGUAAUGCCAUUAAUUUGGUGUUGCGGGGAAACAGGACUGUUACUUUGAAAAAAUUAGAGUGUUUAAAGCACGCUAACGCUUGAAUACAUUAGCAUGGAAUAAUGAAAUAGGACGAUCGAUCCUAUUUUGUUGGUUUCUAGGAUUGACGCA
Molecule: ribosomal RNA, 216 nt
Filed under: Glomeromycotina sp.
Lineage: Eukaryota; Fungi; Glomeromycota
Description: partial small subunit ribosomal RNA
Rfam family: Eukaryotic small subunit ribosomal RNA (bases 44-216)
Source: RNAcentral